This is a non-coding RNA of Phrynosoma platyrhinos (Desert horned lizard), 71 nucleotides long. The record is from the annotation of a GenBank genome assembly. Lineage: Eukaryota; Metazoa; Chordata; Lepidosauria; Squamata; Phrynosomatidae.
GCCAGUGUGGUAUAGAGGUCUGAACACUGGACUAGACUCUGGAGAUCAGGGUUUGAUUCCCUGCUUGGGCA